GGCAAAAACCGGGCAAUCGCAAAAAGGCGUAAU
RNAcentral lists this non-coding RNA (33 nucleotides) under Escherichia coli. The record is from RNAcentral. Lineage: Bacteria; Pseudomonadati; Pseudomonadota; Gammaproteobacteria; Enterobacterales; Enterobacteriaceae.